CCAACAGAGGCUCAACCCUACACUAAAUAAUUUUUUAAAUUUUUUGUUUCUAGUUUCCAUCCUUUUUUUGAAGAACUUAAAGCUGUUCCAGAAAAAUGUAUGCAAGGCAGUUGAAAAGAAGCAUCCUAAACUAUUGAAAAGAGACCUAAAAGAAGACAAACAAGAAAAGUCAUGUUAAGAAAGCAUCAAAAUGUGACAGUAUUGGAAUGAAGGAAAUUGAUGGAAGUUGCAUUCCAUGCAAUGAUUCCAGGCUACGUUACGUUAAGGAACAAAAUAACGUUGAAUAAGAAAAAUUUGUGUUGUAUGUGUAUGAGUCCUUGAAACUAAAUUAUGGAAAUUUAAAAUUAA
Long non-coding RNA from Amphimedon queenslandica, 348 nucleotides. RefSeq lists it as uncharacterized. The transcript has 2 exons. NCBI's taxonomy places the organism in Eukaryota, Metazoa, Porifera, Demospongiae, Haplosclerida, Niphatidae. The record is from RefSeq and is a predicted model, not a curated record.